RNAcentral lists this ribosomal RNA (1130 nucleotides) under Salmonella enterica subsp. enterica serovar Corvallis. RNAcentral's name for it is "partial 23S ribosomal RNA". It matches the Rfam family "Bacterial large subunit ribosomal RNA", at positions 711 to 1757 of the family's 2925-position model. The record is from RNAcentral. Lineage: Bacteria; Pseudomonadati; Pseudomonadota; Gammaproteobacteria; Enterobacterales; Enterobacteriaceae.
AGACCCGAAACCCGGUGAUCUAGCCAUGGGCAGGUUGAAGGUUGGGUAACACUAACUGGAGGACCGAACCGACUAAUGUUGAAAAAUUAGCGGAUGACCUGUGGCUGGGGGUGAAAGGCCAAUCAAACCGGGAGAUAGCUGGUUCUCCCCGAAAGCUAUUUAGGUAGCGCCUCGUGAAUUCAUCUCCGGGGGUAGAGCACUGUUUCGGCUAGGGGGCCAUCCCGGCUUACCAACCCGAUGCAAACUGCGAAUACCGGAGAAUGUUAUCACGGGAGACACACGGCGGGUGCUAACGUCCGUCGUGAAGAGGGAAACAACCCAGACCGCCAGCUAAGGUCCCAAAGUCAUGGUUAAGUGGGAAACGAUGUGGGAAGGCCCAGACAGCCAGGAUGUUGGCUUAGAAGCAGCCAUCAUUUAAAGAAAGCGUAAUAGCUCACUGGUCGAGUCGGCCUGCGCGGAAGAUGUAACGGGGCUAAACCAUGCACCGAAGCUGCGGCAGCGAACGUAUCACUUAAAGCGAUUCAGCGGGUUACGAUUGACGGAGCGAAGCGACGUCAAAGCGUAUACAAAGUCGAGUCGGUUUAAGGAUACGUUCGUUGGGUAGGGGAGCGUUCUGUAAGCCUGUGAAGGUGUGUCGUGAGGCAUGCUGGAGGUAUCAGAAGUGCGAAUGCUGACAUAAGUAACGAUAAAGCGGGUGAAAAGCCCGCUCGCCGGAAGACCAAGGGUUCCUGUCCAACGUUAAUCGGGGCAGGGUGAGUCGACCCCUAAGGCGAGGCCGAAAGGCGUAGUCGAUGGGAAACGGGUUAAUAUUCCCGUACUUGGUGUUACUGCGAAGGGGGGACGGAGAAGGCUAUGUUGGCCGGGCGACGGUUGUCCCGGUUUAAGCGUGUAGGUGUGUGUUCCAGGUAAAUCCGGUUCACUUUAACACUGAGGCGUGACGACGAGGCACUACGGUGCUGAAGCAACAAAUGCCCUGCUUCCAGGAAAAGCCUCUAAGCAUCAGGUAACAUCAAAUCGUACCCCAAACCGACACAGGUGGUCAGGUAGAGAAUACCAAGGCGCUUGAGAGAACUCGGGUGAAGGAACUAGGCAAAAUGGUGCCGUAACUUCGGGAGAAGGCACGCUGACAC